Non-coding RNA from Phalacrocorax carbo (great cormorant), 666 nucleotides. Lineage: Eukaryota; Metazoa; Chordata; Aves; Suliformes; Phalacrocoracidae. The record is from RefSeq and is a predicted model, not a curated record.
GCUCCCCCCGCACCCCGGGUCGCUCGCUGCCGGUUCUUCUCCCCGUCCCUUUUCUCCUCGCCCCCUGAGCAUCCCCACUGGCGGAGCGGUGGCCUGCGGUCCCGGGGAUCCCGGGGCAGCACCUGGGGAUGAUGGCACGUGGGGGGGCUUUUGUCAAGCAACAAAAUCUAGAUGAUGAUAAAAUUCAGUCCAGAAUCAGAUGUUCUACAACAGUCACGUCACUUCAGCCCUUCUCAGCAGACCAGCUGUAGCCUACAAGUGAGAGGCAGCAAAAGCAUGUCCUGAUGUAAAAUAUAGUUUUCAUUUCUCCUCUGCCUGCUCUGGGCUUGAAGAUUUUGUCCACCAACUGAUAAUAACCCAGGUUCCUUGGGAUAAGAAGCUACAAGAUCAAAACCACCUGAGUUAAUGGAUGUCAAAUACUGCCAUCCAAGAGACAUCCAGUGUUCUAAUCCACCAUACUGUGGAGCUGGCCUCAGGUGAGAAGUACAUCCCAAAUUACACAUGCUGGAAGCAGAAUCAUUGCCAGGCAAUACACUUCUUCAUUUGUCUUAAGUACAUGAAGAAAACUAUGGAAUCAUUACACUUCUUCAGACAGCUAUUUUAUGUUGUUUCUGCCCACAUCAGUAAUAAACCCAGCUGAUAAUGAAAUAACUUCUCCAACUGCCU